This 204-nucleotide unclassified non-coding RNA is filed under the name soil metagenome. Its description in RNAcentral is "partial contains 5.8S ribosomal RNA, internal transcribed spacer 2, and large subunit ribosomal RNA". The record is from RNAcentral.
AACAAGGCGUACCUGCGGACCUGCGGAGGGAUCAUUACCGAGUUUACAACUCCCAAACCCCUGUGAACAUACCACUUGUUGCCUCGGCGGAUCAGCCCGCUCCCGGUAAAACGGGACGGCCCGCCAGAGGACCCCUAAACUCUGUUUCUAUAUGUAACUUCUGAGUAAAACCAUAAAUAAAUCAAAACUUUCAACAAUGGAUCU